AGUGAACGCUGGCGGCGUGCCUAACACAUGCAAGUCGAACGAUGAAGAGCAGCUUGUUGCUCGGAUUAGUGGCGCACGGGUGAGUAAUGCAUAGGUAAUGUGCCCCUUAGUCUGGGAUAGCCACUGGAAACGGUGAUUAAUACUAGAUACUCCUUCUUGUCUUAAGGCAAGUCGGGAAAGUUUUUCGCUAAGGGAUCAGCCUAUGUCCUAUCAGGUAGUUGGUGAGGUAACGGCUCACCAAGCCAAUGACGGGUAUCUGGUUUGAGAGGAUGACCAGACACACUGGAACUGAGACACGGUCCAGACUCCUACGGGAGGCAGCAGUGAGGAAUAUUGCACAAUGGAGGAAACUCUGAUGCAGCAACGCCGCGUGGAGGAUGACGCAUUUCGGUGUGUAAACUCCUUUCAAGAGGGAAGAUUAUGACGGUACCUCUUGAAUAAGCACCGGCUAACUCCGUGCCAGCCGCCGCCGUAA
This 475-nucleotide ribosomal RNA is filed under the name uncultured bacterium. RNAcentral's name for it is "partial 16S ribosomal RNA". It matches the Rfam family "Bacterial small subunit ribosomal RNA", at positions 29 to 523 of the family's 1533-position model. The record is from RNAcentral.